GGAGCGGUAGUUCAGUUGGUUAGAAUAUCGGCCUGUCACGCCGGGGGUCGCGGGUUCAAGUCCUGUCCGCUCCG
Molecule: transfer RNA, 74 nt
Filed under: Candidatus Paraburkholderia kirkii UZHbot1
Lineage: Bacteria; Pseudomonadati; Pseudomonadota; Betaproteobacteria; Burkholderiales; Burkholderiaceae
Description: Candidatus Burkholderia kirkii UZHbot1 tRNA
Rfam family: tRNA
About the family: Transfer RNA (tRNA) molecules are approximately 80 nucleotides in length.
Source: Rfam by way of RNAcentral